RNAcentral lists this ribosomal RNA (497 nucleotides) under uncultured bacterium. RNAcentral describes it as "partial 16S ribosomal RNA". It matches the Rfam family "Bacterial small subunit ribosomal RNA", at positions 28 to 507 of the family's 1533-position model. The record is from RNAcentral.
GAUGAACGCUGGCGGCGUGCCUAAUACAUGCAAGUCGAGCGAACAGACGAGGAGCUUGCUCCUCUGACGUUAGCGGCGGACGGGUGAGUAACACGUGGAUAACCUCCCUAUAAGACUGGGAUAACUUCGGGAAACCGGAGCUAAUACCGGAUAAUAUAUUGAACCGCAUGGUUCAAUAGUGAAAGACGGUUUUGCUGUCACUUAUAGAUGGAUCCGCGCCGCAUUAGCUAGUUGGUAAGGUAACGGCUUACCAAGGCAACGAUGCGUAGCCGACCUGAGAGGGUGAUCGGCCACACUGGAACUGAGACACGGUCCAGACUCCUACGGGAGGCAGCAGUAGGGAAUCUUCCGCAAAGGGCGAAAGCUUGACGGAGCAACGCCGCGUGAGUGAUGAAGGUCUUCGGAUCGUAAAACUCUGUUAUUAGGGAAGAACAAAUGUGUAAGUAACUAUGCACGUCUUGACGGUACCUAAUCAGAAAGCCACGGCUAACUACGUG